Long non-coding RNA from Gorilla gorilla gorilla (western lowland gorilla), 580 nucleotides. RefSeq lists it as uncharacterized. Lineage: Eukaryota; Metazoa; Chordata; Mammalia; Primates; Hominidae. The transcript is spliced from 3 exons. The record is from RefSeq and is a predicted model, not a curated record.
CUGUUUGUAAAAACUCUGGCAAAGUUUUCAUGUCACACUUCAACUGCCACUGAGGAACUAUAUCAAGGGGACAGAUAGAAAUUGACCACUUGGGCCAGUGCCCAGCCACUUUCAGAUAAGCUUUGAACAAGGAAGAAAGGGAAAAUGCAGAAAGACUUCCAUUUCGAUGGACAACUCAAGCAGAGAGAAGUUAAGUAACAUGCCCAAGGUCACACAGCUAGCAGCUUGGCAGAAUUCAAUCCAAAGUCAACAUAUAGUGCUUUUAAAGAAGAAUAAAUACACAAGAUGCUAAAAGAAAGAGGACACUUGCUUUCUUCUGAAGUGGCUGAAUGGUGUUCCCCUAAAAGACAUGUCCAUGUUCUAACUCCUGGAUUCAAUGAAUGUGACUUCAUUUGGAAAAAGGGUCAUCUCAGAUAUAAUUAAUUGAAGGAUCUCAGGAUGAGAAUAUCCUGGACUAUCUGGCUUGGCCCUAAAUUCAAUGACACGUGUGCCUGUAAGACAAAGGCAGAAAAAGAUCUGACUUUGACAGAAAAGAAGACAGAGACACAGAGGAGAUGACCACGUAAAGACAGAGGCAGGA